RNAcentral lists this transfer RNA (72 nucleotides) under Neotoma lepida (desert woodrat). It matches the Rfam family "tRNA". From Rfam's summary of the family: Transfer RNA (tRNA) molecules are approximately 80 nucleotides in length. Their secondary structure includes four short double-helical elements and three loops (D, anti-codon, and T loops). The record is from Rfam by way of RNAcentral. Lineage: Eukaryota; Metazoa; Chordata; Mammalia; Rodentia; Cricetidae.
UGGGGUGUAGCUCAGUGGUAGAGCACUUGCUUAGCAUUUGAGAAACCCUGGUUUCCAUCCCUAGCACCUCAA